This 72-nucleotide transfer RNA is filed under the name Rhipicephalus sanguineus (brown dog tick). RNAcentral's name for it is "transfer RNA methionine (anticodon CAU)". It matches the Rfam family "tRNA". Rfam says of the family: Transfer RNA (tRNA) molecules are approximately 80 nucleotides in length. Their secondary structure includes four short double-helical elements and three loops (D, anti-codon, and T loops). Further hydrogen bonds mediate the characteristic L-shaped molecular structure. tRNAs have two regions of fundamental functional importance: the anti-codon, which is responsible for specific mRNA codon recognition, and the 3' end, to which the tRNAs corresponding amino acid is attached (by aminoacyl-tRNA synthetases). tRNAs cope with the degeneracy of the genetic code in two manners: having more than one tRNA (with a specific anti-codon) for a particular amino acid; and 'wobble' base-pairing, i.e. permitting non-standard base-pairing at the 3rd anti-codon position. The record is from Rfam by way of RNAcentral. Lineage: Eukaryota; Metazoa; Arthropoda; Arachnida; Ixodida; Ixodidae.
GCCUCGGUGCGCAGUAGGCAGCGCGUCAGUCUCAUAAUCUGAAGGUCGUGAGUUCGAUCCUCACCCGAGGCA